GGAUCCUGGGAGCCUGCCAAGCAGAGCGCACAGUGUUCCUGGAGUCUCGCUGCCCAGAUGCCACGGAAUCAGUUGAAGCCAGGUCUCCAGCUGGGGUGGACGUGCCCACCAGCUGCCGAAGGCCAAGACGCCAGGUCCGGUGGACGUGACAAGCAGGACAUGACAUGGUCCGGUGUGACGGCGAGGACAGAGGAGGCGCGUCCGGCCUUCCUGGUGAGCAACACCUUAGGCUGGUGGGGCUGCGGCAAGAAGCGGGUCUGUUUCUUUACUUCCUCCACGGAGUCGGCACACUAUGGCUGCCCUCUGGGCUCCCAGAACCCACAACAUGAAAGAAAUGGUGCUACCCAGCUCAAGCCUGGGCCUUUGAAUCCGGACACAAAACCCUCUAGCUUGGAAAUGAAUAUGCUGCACUUUACAACCACUGCACUACCUGACUCAGGAAUCGGCUCUGGAAGGUGAAGCUAGAGGAACCAGACCUCAUCAGCCCAACAUCAAAGACACCAUCGGAACAGCAGCGCCCGCAGCACCCACCCCGCACCGGCGACUCCAUCUUCAUGGCCACCCCCUGCGGCGGACGGUUGACCACCAGCCACCACAUCAUCCCAGAGCUGAGCUCCUCCAGCGGGAUGACGCCGUCCCCACCACCUCCCUCUUCUUCUUUUUCAUCCUUCUGUCUCUUUGUUUCUGAGCUUUCCUGUCUUUCCUUUUUUCUGAGAGAUUCAAAGCCUCCACGACUCUGUUUCCCCCGUCCCUUCUGAAUUUAAUUUGCACUAAGUCAUUUGCACUGGUUGGAGUUGUGGAGACGGCCUUGAGUCUCAGUACGAGUGUGCGUGAGUGUGAGCCACCUUGGCAAGUGCCUGUGCAGGGCCCGGCCGCCCUCCAUCUGGGCCGGGUGACUGGGCGCCGGCUGUGUGCCCGAGGCCUCACCCUGCCCUCGCCUAGUCUGGAAGCUCCGACCGACAUCACGGAGCAGCCUUCAAGCAUUCCAUUACGCCCCAUCUCGCUCUGUGCCCCUCCCCACCAGGGCUUCAGCAGGAGCCCUGGACUCAUCAUCAAUAAACACUGUUACAGCAA
Molecule: long non-coding RNA, 1074 nt
Filed under: Homo sapiens (human)
Lineage: Eukaryota; Metazoa; Chordata; Mammalia; Primates; Hominidae
Description: H19 imprinted maternally expressed transcript
Source: RNAcentral